UUUAUUAUUACAUAUUUUAAUUCAAGCUUUUAGUACAAUAGUCUCUUAUAUUUUUUUAAUCUCUAAUGGCAGAUUUCAAACUAUAAGGUAUGCUUAUGUGUUUGUGAGUGUGCAAUAGAUUCUGAAAAGACACUUCUUUGUAAAUCUGUUUUAUUAGAAUUAUGAAUUGAAAAAGAAUUGACUUGAAUAGGUUUUUAUGCAGAUUUUAAGUUGGGUUUGAAAUCUGCAACGAUAUACAAUUACGAAACACAUACGAUUAUAAUUUUGUUUUAAGGUUCGAUUUUAAGUUGGGUGUUAAGUUCGUCAAGGCACACAAUAACCAACAGAAUAAGGAUGACAGAGUACCAUUAUCCAACUUUUGAACAUUUAUAUCCUAGCGGGGUACAACGAUAUGAUGUACGAGCCCGACUAAUUCGUAAUUAUGAUAUUUUCAACUACAACCACAAAGGAACAACUAAGAAAGCAUGGAAAAUGCUUUUUGUCGAUGUUGAGGGUGAGGGCAUACAGUGCAAUAUUUACGAGCCCGCAAUUGAAAAGUUUAUAGGACGGUUUCAAGAGGGAUUCAUUUAUAUACUCCUUGCUGUACAAGUGAUAUUUGCUGAAGGGAAAAACAAAAUUGUCCCCAAUUGGAAACAGAUGAUCAUUAAAGAAGAAACAAAUGUGAUACGUGAAGAGGAGGAUGACAUUUCCAUACCUUCAUUCCACUAUAAUUUGGUUCAUUUGAACAGAUUAAGUUGUCAC
Molecule: long non-coding RNA, 741 nt
Organism: Spinacia oleracea (spinach)
Lineage: Eukaryota; Viridiplantae; Streptophyta; Magnoliopsida; Caryophyllales; Amaranthaceae
Exons: 4
Source: RefSeq, a predicted model, not a curated record